AUAAUGGAGUUCAGAAACCAUACACAAAACGAGGCGGAACCGAAAAGCCAAAUGAGUAGGAC
Molecule: non-coding RNA, 62 nt
Filed under: uncultured Dysgonomonas sp.
Lineage: Bacteria; Pseudomonadati; Bacteroidota; Bacteroidia; Bacteroidales; Dysgonomonadaceae
Description: DUF805 RNA
Rfam family: DUF805 RNA
Source: RNAcentral